RNAcentral lists this ribosomal RNA (542 nucleotides) under uncultured bacterium. RNAcentral's name for it is "bacterial SSU rRNA". It matches the Rfam family "Bacterial small subunit ribosomal RNA", at positions 355 to 896 of the family's 1533-position model. The record is from RNAcentral.
UAAGGAAUAUUGGUCAAUGGGCGCAAGCCUGAACCAGCCAUGCCGCGUGAAGGAUGACGGCCCUAUGGGUUGUAAACUUCUUUUGUACGGGAAAAAACCACCGGUCGUGUAUCGGUGCUGAUGGUACCGUAAGAAUAAGCAUCGGCUAACUCCGUGCCAGCAGCCGCGGUAAUACGGAGGAUGCAAGCGUUAUCCGGAUUCAUUGGGUUUAAAGGGUGCGCAGGCGGAGUGUUAAGUCAGUGGUGAAAUCUCUCGGCUCAACCGGGAAACUGCCAUUGAUACUGACAUUCUUGAGUAUUGUUGAGGUAGGCGGAAUGUGUCAUGUAGCGGUGAAAUGCUUAGAUAUGACACAGAACACCGAUCGCGAAGGCAGCUUACCAAGCAAUAACUGACGCUCAUGCACGAAAGCGUGGGGAUCAAACAGGAUUAGAUACCCUGGUAGUCCACGCCGUAAACGAUGAUCACUCGAUGUUGGCGAUACACAGUCAGCGUCUUAGGGAAACUAUUAAGUGAUCCACCUGGGGAGUACGGUCGCAAGAUUG